GACGAACGCUGGCGGCGUGCUUAACACAUGCCAGUCGAACGGAAAGGCCCUGCUUGCAGGGUGCUCGAGUGGCGAACGGGUGAGUAACACGUGGGUGAUCUGCCCCUUACUUUGGGAUAAGCCUGGGAAACUGGGUCUAAUACUGGAUAGGACCAUGCUGUAGGUGGUGUGGUUGAAAGAUUAGUUUCGGUAAGGGAUGAGCUCGCGGCCUAUCAGCUUGUUGGUGGGGUAAUGGCCUACCAAGGCGUCGACGGGUAGCCGGCCUGAGAGGGUGGACGGCCACAUUGGGAGUGAGAUACGGCGCAGACGCCUACGGGAGGCAGCAGUGGGGAAGAUUGCACAAUGGGCGCAAGCCGGAUGCAGCGACGCCGCGUGGGGGAUGACGGCCUUCGGGUUGUAAACUCCUUUCAGCCAUGACGAAGCCCUUGUGGUGACGGUAGUGGUAGAAGAAGCACCGGCUAACUACGUG
RNAcentral lists this ribosomal RNA (469 nucleotides) under uncultured bacterium. RNAcentral's name for it is "partial 16S ribosomal RNA". It matches the Rfam family "Bacterial small subunit ribosomal RNA", at positions 28 to 507 of the family's 1533-position model. The record is from RNAcentral.